UACGGAGGGUGCAAGCGUUAUUCGGAAUUACUGGGCGUAAAGCGUACGCAGGCGGUUUGUUAAGUCAGAUGUGAAAUCCCCGGGCUCAACCUUGGAACUGCAUUUGAAACUGGCAAGCUAGAGUCUGGUAGAGGUGGGUGGAAUUCCAAGUGUAGCGGUGAAAUGCGUAGAUAUUUGGAAGAACACCGGUGGCGAAGGCGGCCCCCUGGACGAAGACUGACGCUCAGGUGCGAAAGCGUGGGGAGCAAACAGG
RNAcentral lists this ribosomal RNA (253 nucleotides) under uncultured bacterium. RNAcentral describes it as "partial 16S ribosomal RNA". It matches the Rfam family "Bacterial small subunit ribosomal RNA", at positions 524 to 776 of the family's 1533-position model. The record is from RNAcentral.